CUACGGGCUGCAGCAGUGGGGAAUAUUGGACAAUGGGGGAAACCCUGAUCCAGCAAUGCCGCGUGUGUGAAGAAGGCCUGCGGGUUGUAAAGCACUUUCGGUUGGGAGGACUGCUUCUAGCACUAAUAUUGUUGGAAGUUGACGUUACCUUCAGAAGAAGCACCGGCUAACUCCGUGCCAGCGGCCGCGGUAAUACGGAGGGUGCAAGCGUUAAUCGGAAUUACUGGGCGUAAAGCGCGCGUAGGCGGCUAGAUCAGUCGGGUGUGAAAGCCCCGGGCUUAAACUGGGAACUGCAUCCGAUACUGUCUAGCUUGAGUACAGGAGAGGAGAGUGGAAUUCCACAUGUAGCGGUGAUAUGCGUAGAUAUGUGGAGGAACACCAAUGGCGAAGGCAGCUCUCUGGCCUGAUACUGACGCUGAGGUGCGAAAGCGUGGGGAGCAAACAGGAUUAGAUACCCUAGUAGUC
This 465-nucleotide ribosomal RNA is filed under the name uncultured bacterium. RNAcentral's name for it is "partial 16S ribosomal RNA". It matches the Rfam family "Bacterial small subunit ribosomal RNA", at positions 339 to 795 of the family's 1533-position model. The record is from RNAcentral.